Molecule: unclassified non-coding RNA, 596 nt
Filed under: Hevea brasiliensis (rubber tree)
Lineage: Eukaryota; Viridiplantae; Streptophyta; Magnoliopsida; Malpighiales; Euphorbiaceae
Source: RNAcentral
GAGGGAGUGGUGGUGGGUUGUAAAGAAACCAUCACAUUGUUGGAUUAGAUGAUUAACGAAUGUAUGAGGGUGACCAACAACUUUCGAGGAUGCAUCAAUUCUCUAAAUCAAUAAUUUCAUCAAAUAAUUAAAAAGCCUAACUUUAGGCCCUAUUUCAUCGAAAGUAGAAGGGAAUGGGACUUCUAGUUCCAUAAUUUUCUUUCCAUCAUCAAAUAACUAGGAGAGAAUUCUCUCCCCUGUAGUUAGCAACUGAUUUACUUCCCUGAUUUCAUUAUCCAAUUGUUCAGCUCUUACAAAUUUUUUUUUCCCUCUUCUCUGCAUUCAUUACUUACAACCAUUCAAAUAGGGCCUGAUACAUAAUGUAGCCCUCGAGCAUUGUGGAAUAGGUCCAGUGCACUCUUGGAUCUUUUAUUUUGAGCUAUUACACCCGUGACUUUUUAUUUUUUGGCAUAAAUGCACCCUUUAAUAAAUAAUUGAAUACAUUAUCAAGUUUAAUCCAUUAUAAAGUGAAAAGAAAAAGGAUAUAUCAAGUAAUAUAUUUAAUCAAUUUUUCAUCAUUGAAUUUAAAAAUUUGUCUAUUGGUUACAAAAAUAAAA